This 76-nucleotide transfer RNA is filed under the name Pantoea sp. Eser. RNAcentral describes it as "tRNA-Asp". It matches the Rfam family "tRNA". Rfam says of the family: Transfer RNA (tRNA) molecules are approximately 80 nucleotides in length. Their secondary structure includes four short double-helical elements and three loops (D, anti-codon, and T loops). The record is from RNAcentral. Lineage: Bacteria; Pseudomonadati; Pseudomonadota; Gammaproteobacteria; Enterobacterales; Erwiniaceae.
GGAGCGGUAGUUCAGUUGGUUAGAAUACCUGCCUGUCACGCAGGGGGAGCGGGUUCGAGCCUCGUCCGUUCCGCCA